UACGAAGGGGGCUAGCGUUGCUCGGAAUCACUGGGCGUAAGGCGCACGUAGGCGGAUUGCUAAGUCAGGGGUGAAAUCCUGGAGCUCAACUCCAGAACUGCCUUUGAUACUGGCGAUCUCGAGUCCGGGAGAGGUGAGUGGAACUGCGAGUGUAGAGGUGAAAUUCGUAGAUAUUCGCAAGAACACCAGUGGCGAAGGCGGCUCACUGGCCCGGUACUGACGCUGAGGCACGAAAGCGUGGGGAGCAAACAGG
This 253-nucleotide ribosomal RNA is filed under the name uncultured bacterium. RNAcentral's name for it is "partial 16S ribosomal RNA". It matches the Rfam family "Bacterial small subunit ribosomal RNA", at positions 524 to 776 of the family's 1533-position model. The record is from RNAcentral.